GUGUUGGACAUGUCAUCACAUGUGGAGAUCUAUACGCUGUAGCUUCUUCACAUUCAUUCUGAAGACUAGCCGUCUAUGAUAUGGACUAUGGAGAUGGAUGUUGUUGAUCUGUGUUUACAUCCUAAUGAUUGCUGACUGUGUGUGUUGCAGAUUGUUUUUGAGAACACAUUGAUGCAGCACCAUGUUGCUCUUCCACCAGGUUCUAUGAGGAAAAUAAGUUACAUUGCACCAGCUGGUCAGUACAACCUUCAGGUUAGUUUAUGUUAUGCCUUAUAGGAAGCCUUAUUGAUGUGGUGUCUUCUACCUCUGAGCUUUCGGCUGCUUCCAUUUAGUGCCUUUCGGCUGCUUCCUUUACUGUUUUAGUGGCAAGUUCAAGUGAUUGCUUUCUUUCACAGCAAAUGGGAAAGAUGAAGCCUAGUGGUAGUUUUGCCAUUCUCUGUAAUGGCAACAAUCCGAAUCUCUCAGUUUUGAUUAGUGCUCACGAAAUAUGAUGGCUUUACAGUUUUACUCAAUGAUGCCACCCUUGGGAAUCUCAACUCUUGUUUUGGUCAGUUGGCAACAGUGCUCUUCGUAACUUCCGGUUCGAACUUCAUUAUAGUUGUUUUUCAGGGUAACAGGUGCAUUUGGAAUUCAUAGAGGGACUUGAGGGUAUUAAUUGGUCACUUUCCAUUUUAUAACGAGUCAUUUAUUUACAAUCAUAUGUUCUGUGGGAUUUGCAUUUUUUUCAUGAUUUAUCUUUUCUUAUAGGUUUUAAAUAGAAGCCUACAAAAUCCGAACUGUAAGCUAGACUAUUCUGUUUAGGCAUCACAAUCAGGAUACAUAAGCAGAAUAUCUUAAAUAAUUGCAUGCCUGAUUUUCAUGGCUGGGAACUUAUGUAUUAUGACUCUGAAUCAGGCAAACGAAGGAUGUAGUAAAAGCUGUGAAGAAGCAGUUGCAGCAUAAGGAUCCAAAAGUUAAAUUCUUUACUUUGACGUUAUUGGAGACAAUGAUGAAGAACUGUGGUGAAUAUGUUCAUUUUGAAGUUGUUGAUCAGCAUGUUUUAUAAGAGAUUGUU
Zea mays is the source of this 1054-nucleotide long non-coding RNA. RefSeq lists it as uncharacterized. The transcript has 2 exons. The record is from RefSeq and is a predicted model, not a curated record. Lineage: Eukaryota; Viridiplantae; Streptophyta; Magnoliopsida; Poales; Poaceae.